AUCUAAUCCCAACCACCCACCCAACGCCUCCCCUCCCCCCCCAAAAAAAAGAAAAGAAAAGAGAGUUCAUCUUCCUCCCUCCCCCUCCCCCCACCCAAAAAGUUCAUCUUCCUCCCUCCACCUCACCUCACCCCACACCACACCACCACCACCCCUCACUAAACCCCUCCGUUCCCUUCACAAAAAAAUAAAUAAAAGGUUAAUCUUCCUCCAGAACGCCCUUCAUGCACCCGACGGCCCCCUUCCACCGCAAAUUCAAAUGAAGAGCCGCCCUCGCCGCCGUCCACUCCACGUCGUCGCAGCUGCCGAAAUCCUCUACCCUGCCGAUGCCCACAAGAAAUACUCCUCAUCCGCUGUAACAAAUGCAUUGCCCACCCAUUCAAUUCAACCGCAACAAAUGAGUCGCCCCCAGCCGCCCUCUCAUCCAAUUAUGGACAAAAGCUUAAUCACAAACCAAAUCCCUCCACCUCCAAUCAAAAUCCAGAUACCGCGAUUUAUGAGAAGACAGAGCGUGUGAAGGAGGGUGAUGCGAUGAAGGUUAGAAAGGCGAAGGGCAAUUUUAUCUCUGAAAAGCUAAUCUAGGGUACUAUUGAGAUGAUGAAUUGUAUCCAUGGGUGUUGGUAGGAUAACUUUUGUGAAGAUAAAUAGUAAUUUUACAGUGGACUUUAAUUUAAAACGGGAUCUCCUCACUAUUUAUCAUGGAUAUCAAACAACUUGAUAGUCCUCGAGAGGACAUCCAAACAGUGCGAACUUGUGCCUGUGAACAGUGAGAUUUAGGGUUCAAACCCUACUGCUUCUUCUUAUCUAGAUUUAAAAAAAAACUGAUAAGGCCUAGGUAAAUUUGAUAUCUGAACCUUAUGAAGCCUUACCAAACAGAUACUGAAUAUAUAAUUAAUCAUGAGCUUAGCUCCAAAUAGUUAACGUAUCUAGCGGAUCCUAAUUAUGAGCCCGAUGCGCGCUGCUCCCGAGCCCCAUUACUGAUGCUCUCAGACAUUUGAACAAAAUUUUGUGAACUAUACAUAUAAAGUCACUUGAAUCAUAAUUUAGUUUCAACAACAAAUAUUAGAAUUUGAGUCUCAUAGGAACAACCUAGUGGUAAAUAGGAUAUUUUUAAGGCUAAAUAUCUCAAGUUCGAAUCUCACUAAUCUAUAUAAUAUAUAAAAAGAGGAGUUUUUCCCUCCAUUUUUCCCUCUUCAUUUUUCUCUCUUAUUCCACCAAAUUUUUCAUAAUUUUUUUCUCUUCUCUUUUUUUAAUUUUUUUUUCUAAAUAUCGUCAUAUUUGAUUAAUGAAAAAAAUAUUCAAUAUUCAUCUUAAAUUUAAAUUUGUGAAAAGAUCUUUAAUAUGAUGUAAAAAUCAUUAAAAAUAAAUUUAAAAUAAAUAAAUUAUGAUUUUUUUAAAAAUAUGUCAUUUUCUCUCUCCAUUACUUUUUACAACUUUUUUUUUAUCUAUGUUUGUUUAUGAAAUAUUUAUUUAUUAAAAUAUAUUUUGAAUUGAUUUACAUUUUGAUUAUAUUUAAUAAUUAUAUAUUAAUUAAUUUCGAUGUUCGUCGUGCAUCGCACGAAUGAAGGUACUAGUAUCUUUAUAUAUCUCAGUUUGUCUUACGUAAUUUUUCAAAUAUAAUUUGCAAGCAAUUACACAUAAACGCAGGGGGGAUCCAGGAUUUGAAGUUAGGGGGGAGGGGGCUGAAUUUAUUGAUCUACGACGUUUGAAGACAUUUACACGGACUUCAUUUUCAUGCAUUUUUUUUAACAAUCACUUAAUAUAAUAGAUAAUUAUUUGCAAUUCAAUAAAUUCAACAUCAAGUAGAUUGAAAGCAUACAAAAACAUACUUUUAUGCAUUCCUUUAAAAAAUAUACUUCAUUUUCUAAACAAAUAAACUAACUUUCAUUGUUAAUAAUAAGUAAUUUUACUUUUAACUUUAGAAUAGACUCAAAUUCAACAUUAAAAAUUAAAUAAGAAAAAAAAUUGGAUAAAAAUAACAUAAAUGUAACAAAUCAAUGUACAAUGUCAAAUAAUUAAUAUGGAUAGUUGGAUAUACUAUAAAUAAUGUACUCCCUCCGUCUCAGCCCAAUAGGCUCGUUUUCCUUUUCGGGACGUCCCAGCCCAAUAGGCUCAGUCUUAAAAUGAAAAUAAUUAGGGUUAUAAUUAAAAUAAUUAGCUACUUAAUUAAAGAGGAUAUACACCCAAAUUAAAAUCCUAAAGACUCAUUCUAAAAAAACAUUUUCUCUCUCCACUUUUCUUUUCUUCUUCACACGGUCUCUGCUCUCUCCCUUCUUUCAUUCCCUCUCUCUGCGUCUCUCACUCUCUGUUGCUCUCCGGCGAGGCCGGCGUAUCUUCUUCUCCCUCCUUUCUUCUCAACCUCUUCCCCUAAAUCUAAAAUCAAAAUCAAAAUCAACCUAGGGUUUUAAUCUCCGCCCCAGCCCGUCGUACCGUCGUAUCUUCACCCCUCGAGCCCCUGAGCUGUAGACGUGUCGGAGACCUUCGUUACCGGAGCCGGUGGUCGCGGAAGAAGACGAAGCGGCGGUGACCGGUGCGGAGGAAGAGGCGAAAAUCAAAGCUCCACCUCCCCAUUCUCUCAACGACGAGCGCCGCCGCUGACUCCUUCGUUCAACGCCACGGUGCCCCCGCCCCCUCUCUCUCAGUUCUUGAUUUGCAGAUCAGAAUUUUCUUGAUUUUGUUGCUGAAAGUUUCUGAUUUCGUUAGAGUUGCUGUUGAGUUGUAUUCUUGAUUUGCAGAAUUAGAGUGUAGAAACAUGUGAAUUGUUGCUGAAUUCUUGAUUUGCAGUAUUUUUGUUGAAUGUUGGUUGUUGAGUUGUA
Long non-coding RNA from Salvia miltiorrhiza (redroot sage), 2816 nucleotides. RefSeq lists it as uncharacterized. The record is from RefSeq and is a predicted model, not a curated record. The transcript has 2 exons. NCBI's taxonomy places the organism in Eukaryota, Viridiplantae, Streptophyta, Magnoliopsida, Lamiales, Lamiaceae.